UAAUUAUCCCAAGACCCCUUUUCUAAAAAAAAUUAUGUUUUGUUGGAUAUUUUUUUUUCCUUUUAAUGGCUAAAGUACCGUUUCCUUAUCAAAAUGAAGGUUUCUUUUCUUUUCUGAAGAACGAUAUGUAGUACUAGAAACAAGAAUUAAAGAACGAAUUUCACAAGAUUUCUUCUACACGCCACAAACAAGUGAAAUUUCAAGAAGAAAUUGCUUGAUUCUUCUAUUCUUUCUCUGUGACUUUCUGCGUUUCGAUCAAGAAAUUGGUUUAUCCGAGUUUGUUCUGAUGGAAUCAACUUCUUAUUACUAUAAAAAAAAAACCAUGUGGAUAAAGAUUUGGAAACAACAAUAAAAAAAAGGUUUCUCAAUCUGUGGUUAAAUUAACCAUAAGAGCUACUAGAAGAUUUGAUAUACUUGAAGUUAUUCCAACCGACGGUACCAGAUUCGUGGUUGAUGAAAAACGUGGGAUUAUCCUCACGGAUCGUCAUGUUGCACAAACUGGUAUCUUGAUUUUAUUACCUCAAAUUUGUAUUUGUUGUAUUUGCAGGACCUUGUUUUGUUGAUGCUGAAUUUAGUAAAGGGAAAUUAGUUCUGGUGCUAUGUAUAUAUGUAGAUCCGGUAAAUUAUUCUUUUUCUUUUUUGAUACGGAGUUUAGUAAUGGGAAACUAGUUCUAGUGUUACCUUUCUGUUGCAGUAUUGUUUUGGGGAUAAUCAACCUCUAAUCUCGCACUAGGCAUACCGAGGCUCAGUUGAUGUAAUCAGGCAAAAAUACACUGUUUCCAUGAGUGUUAGCCUCUGUUAAGGUCAACAUAGCUAAUAUGAUUGGUGUCUUUAAUUUCACCAAUUGAUUUUGUUAAUUGUGGCUGGGAGUUUAUUAUGAACAGUUCUGGUACUUUGUAUUUACAGCAAAUGGGAUUUGAGAAACUUGCUAGUACUUUGGUAUUCAAGAACUAAAAUCCGGCGAGAUGGGAUUCAAGCAAGAAAUGCUUGCUCUACAGAAUUGUAUGAAGUAUGAAGGACCGACUUCCUUUCUCAAGGUAUCUUUAUUAGAAAUGGAAGCCAAGAGAGUGUGAUGUACUGAGAUUAAUCAAAAGAAGCAUCUGUGACUGAUGAGAGAUAAGUGUUGGGAAUUUAUUGGUGAUUUGAUUAGCGGUAACCAUGUCCAGUUAUUUCUUUGCAUCCUAUGAAUUGAACUCAGUUGAAAUGAGAUGAAGAUAUAGAAGUUGGAACUGAAUGAAUAAUAUCUUAAUGGUGUUGGUGUUGGUCA
Long non-coding RNA from Papaver somniferum (opium poppy), 1267 nucleotides. RefSeq lists it as uncharacterized. The transcript is spliced from 2 exons. The record is from RefSeq and is a predicted model, not a curated record. NCBI's taxonomy places the organism in Eukaryota, Viridiplantae, Streptophyta, Magnoliopsida, Ranunculales, Papaveraceae.